Molecule: unclassified non-coding RNA, 806 nt
Filed under: Zea mays
Lineage: Eukaryota; Viridiplantae; Streptophyta; Magnoliopsida; Poales; Poaceae
Description: misc RNA Zm00001eb427240
Source: RNAcentral
AGGCACACGCAUAUAAAAAUCUAUCUCUCUCCUCCGGUACAAGAGCAGAGCCCUUGGCUGGCGUCUCACCCGAUCACACACAGUCACAGCAGCUGAGCAGCCCCGCUCUCCAGUCUCCACACCUCCUGCGGCCGGCCCGACGGCCCCCCGACACCGAACAUGAAGAGGGAGAGACGUCACGGCAUGAGCGCACGGCUACCGACCAUGCUGCUGGCAAUGCUUCUGCUGCUGGCGACCGAGCUCGCCUCCUUCGGCUGCUGCGGCCACGGGAUUCCCAGAGCGGACGUGGCGGCGUGGAGGCAUAGACGGGUGGCCGUGCCGGCGGCGGCGGCGGCGGCGGCGGCGGCGGCGACGACGACGGCAGGCGCGCGCGCUACUACGUCGCCCUCCCCCACGGCAGCCCGGGACGACGCCGAGGCGGCGCUCGGCGAGUCCAAGAGGCUGGUGCCGCAGGGCUCCAACCCGCUGCACAACUAGGAGCGUGAGCGUGAGAGCGAGGAAGCAAAGCAGGCGCGUGCAGGUUCUUCGUUCGGCUAGCUUUCAUGUAUUUUUUUUUACUCCCUCGCUAGGUCACACACAGGCACACGGCCAUUGAUGUGCGCCUGUAACUGUAAUUAGCUAGCGACGCAACACACGGCAGCAGUAGGGCUAGCUAUGGAGUCUGGAUCCAAUCCAGCAACACACGACAAGAGUGUACAGUACAUGCAUGCAUGCAUGCAUGCAUGCAUGAUUCUUUUGCCAUGCAUGGUCUUUCCGAUCAAGGAUUUGAUUCAUCAGUAGAUAGCGAGCAACGAAUUGAGAGUUGG